RNAcentral lists this ribosomal RNA (270 nucleotides) under uncultured archaeon. Its description in RNAcentral is "partial 16S ribosomal RNA". It matches the Rfam family "Archaeal small subunit ribosomal RNA", at positions 477 to 747 of the family's 1478-position model. The record is from RNAcentral.
CAGCACCUCAAGUGGUCAGGAUGAUUAUUGGGCCUAAAGCAUCCGUAGCCGGCGCUGUAAGUUUUCGGUUAAAUCUGUACGCUCAACGUACAGGCUGCCGGGAAUACUGCAGCGCUAGGGAGUGGGGGAGGUAGACGGUACUCGGUAGGAAGGGGUAAAAUCCUUUGAUCUAUUGAUGACCACCUGUGGCGAAGGCGGUCUACCAGAACACGUCCGACGGUGAGGGAUGAAAGCUGGGGGAGCAAACCGGAUUAGAGACCCGAGUAGUCC